Molecule: ribosomal RNA, 482 nt
Filed under: uncultured soil bacterium
Lineage: Bacteria
Description: bacterial SSU rRNA
Rfam family: Bacterial small subunit ribosomal RNA
Source: RNAcentral
GCUGGCGGCGUGCCUAACACAUGCAAGUCGAGCGGUAACAGGUGUAGCAAUACAUGCUGACGAGCGGCGAACGGGUGAGUAAUGCUUCGGAAUCUGCCCAGUGGUGGGGAAUAACCAGCCGAAAGGUUGGCUAAUACCGCAUAAGCCCUACGGGGGAAAGCAGGGGAUCGCAAGACCUUGCGCCGAUGGAUGAGCCGAAGCCGGAUUAGCUAGUUGGUAGGGUAACGGCCUACCAAGGCGACGAUCCGUAGCUGGUCUGAGAGGACGACCAGCCACACUGGGACUGAGACACGGCCCAGACUCCUACGGGAGGCAGCAGUGGGGAAUAUUGGACAAUGGGGGAAACCCUGAUCCAGCGACGCCGCGUGUGUGAAGAAGGCCUGCGGGUUGUAAAGCACUUUUAGUGGGGAUGAAAAGCUCAGGGCUAAUACCUCUGGGUCUUGACCUAACCCAAAGAAAAAGCACCGGCUAACUCUGUGCCA